This 555-nucleotide ribosomal RNA is filed under the name Triticum aestivum (bread wheat). Its description in RNAcentral is "partial small subunit ribosomal RNA". Lineage: Eukaryota; Viridiplantae; Streptophyta; Magnoliopsida; Poales; Poaceae. The record is from RNAcentral.
AUGGAGCACUACACCAUGAGGCUCAGCGCGGGCGGAGGGGCCACGCCCACCCAGCAGCAGCAGCAGCAGCAGCUCUGCCCCUGGGGAGAGCCCCUGAUGGUGGCGGCGCCUGACCGAAGGUCGAGGUUCUGGCAGAUGGACGUGGCCGUGGCGGCACAGCCGGCCCGCAUCGAGGUCAUAUGCCCGCUGCCGCGACGCCCGGCCCGUCCUCCACACCCCGUCGAGCCCUUCGGCAGGGCCACCUCCAGGCCUAACAACGGGACGCUACCGGUGUAUAGAACAGACUCCGCCUCUGAUAUCCUUGAUCUCAUCCUCAGCAAGAAUGACCCUGAUGUUGAUACCGAUUCCAACGGCCAGGCGGGCUUUUUCUGUGGCUCGCCUCCCGUCCGCACUAACAACCCCAUUGUGAAUGAUCCGCAGUUUGGUAGGAAUACCCCCUGUUUUUCUCCUCUAGGGAGCCCAUUCAGCAAGAUGCUUGGUGGAAGAGCUGAAGUAGGCUCUCCGUCUUGCGGGGCGAGUAGUAGCCCGAAAGUGAGGAUUGAAGGCUUUGCCUGA